AGGAAGGAUAUUCAAUCAGAAAAAUAUUGAAAGUUCAAAGUUUGAAGAGGCUUUAGUAAAUUAAAUCAAUAUUUGCUUAAAUGAUCAUAUAUACAUGCAUAAAAACAUUAUUAAAAAUCCAUUUAUUCAUUCGUUGGUAGUUUCCAGGGUAUUUGAAAGUAGGUUCUUAUUUAUUUGCACUCCAGAUGGCUUUAUUUCAUUUGUUAAUAAUGUGGGCUUAGGCAGAAUCACUCCAACCCAAAUUAAUGUACUCUCGGGCGUAAUAAAAAAAAGUAAUAUCUGGAUGUGCUGUAUUAACUGACAAAGGAUAAUUAAAAAUGAGCCACCAAAGCUGUUGUAUAGUGGGUUGUAGAAACACUAGCAGAAAAAGUGACUGCAAAUUCUAUACAUUUUCUACAGCUAAGUGGAAAGAAAAUCAAAGGGAAAAGCGGA
This is a long non-coding RNA of Ctenocephalides felis (cat flea), 432 nucleotides long. RefSeq lists it as uncharacterized. The record is from RefSeq and is a predicted model, not a curated record. Lineage: Eukaryota; Metazoa; Arthropoda; Insecta; Siphonaptera; Pulicidae. The transcript has 3 exons.